GAUGAACGCUAGCGAUAGGCUUAACACAUGCAAGUCGAGGGGCAUCAGGGUCUUCGGACCGCUGGCGACCGGCGCACGGGUGAGUAACGCGUAUGCAACCUACCCAUAACUUUGGGAGAGCCCGUGGAAAGACGGAUUAAUACCGAAUAACACUGGGGCACCGCAUGGGGAUAUUUGUUAAAGUCUUAUUGGUUAUGGAUGGGCAUGCGUUGGAUUAGCUAGUGGGUGGGGGUAACGGCUCACCAAGGAAACGAUUCAGAGGGGAACUGAGAGGUUUAUCCCCCAGACUGGUACUGAGGCACGGACCAGACUGCUACGGGGGGAAGGAGUGAGGGAUAAUGGUCGAUGGGAGAGCGCCUGAACCAGCCAAAUCGCGUGAAGGAUGACUGUAUUAUGGAUUGUAAGCUUGUUUUAUGUGGGAAUAAAAAAGGGGACGCGGCCCUUAUUGCAUGUACCACAUGAAUAAGCAACGGCUAACUCCGUGCCAGCAGCCGCCGUAA
RNAcentral lists this ribosomal RNA (500 nucleotides) under uncultured bacterium. RNAcentral's name for it is "partial 16S ribosomal RNA". It matches the Rfam family "Bacterial small subunit ribosomal RNA", at positions 28 to 523 of the family's 1533-position model. The record is from RNAcentral.